This 744-nucleotide ribosomal RNA is filed under the name uncultured bacterium. RNAcentral's name for it is "bacterial SSU rRNA". It matches the Rfam family "Bacterial small subunit ribosomal RNA", at positions 122 to 882 of the family's 1533-position model. The record is from RNAcentral.
GAACCUGCCUCAAAGAGGGGGACAACAGUUGGAAACGACUGCUAAUACCGCAUAAGCCCACGGGUCGGCAUCGACCAGAGGGAAAAGGAGCAAUCCGCUUUGAGAUGGCCUCGCGUCCGAUUAGCUAGUUGGUGAGGUAACGGCCCACCAAGGCAACGAUCGGUAGCCGGACUGAGAGGUUGAACGGCCACAUUGGGACUGAGACACGGCCCAGACUCCUACGGGAGGCAGCAGUGGGGAAUAUUGCACAAUGGGGGAAACCCUGAUGCAGCGACGCCGCGUGGAGGAAGAAGGUCUUCGGAUUGUAAACUCCUGUUGUUGAGGAAGAUAAUGACGGUACUCAACAAGGAAGUGACGGCUAACUACGUGCCAGCAGCCGCGGUAAAACGUAGGUCACAAGCGUUGUCCGGAAUUACUGGGUGUAAAGGGAGCGCAGGCGGGAAGACAAGUUGGAAGUGAAAUCCAUGGGCUCAACCCAUGAACUGCUUUCAAAACUGUUUUUCUUGAGUAGUGCAGAGGUAGGCGGAAUUCCCGGUGUAGCGGUGGAAUGCGUAGAUAUCGGGAGGAACACCAGUGGCGAAGGCGGCCUACUGGGCACCAACUGACGCUGAGGCUCGAAAGUGUGGGUAGCAAACAGGAUUAGAUACCCUGGUAGUCCACACCGUAAACGAUGAUUACUAGGUGUUGGAGGAUUGACCCCUUCAGUGCCGCAGUUAACACAAUAAGUAAUCCACCUGGGGAGUA